UGGGGAAUAUUGGACAAUGGGCGAAAGCCUGAUCCAGCCAUGCCGCGUGUGUGAAGAAGGUCUUCGGAUUGUAAAGCACUUUAAGUUGGGAGGAAGGGCAGUAAGCGAAUACCUUGCUGUUUUGACGUUACCGACAGAAUAAGCACCGGCUAACUCUGUGCCAGCAGCCGCGGUAAUACAGAGGGUGCAAGCGUUAAUCGGAAUUACUGGGCGUAAAGCGCGCGUAGGUGGUUCGUUAAGUUGAAUGUGAAAGCCCCGGGCUCAACCUGGGAACUGCAUCCAAAACUGGCGAGCUAGAGUAGGGCAGAGGGUGGUGGAAUUUCCUGUGUAGCGGUGAAAUGCGUAGAUAUAGGAAGGAACAACAGUGGCGAAGGCGACCACCUGGGCUCAUACUGACAAUGAGGUGCGAAAGCGUGGGGAGCAAACAGG
RNAcentral lists this ribosomal RNA (429 nucleotides) under Pseudomonadota bacterium. Its description in RNAcentral is "Proteobacteria bacterium partial 16S ribosomal RNA". It matches the Rfam family "Bacterial small subunit ribosomal RNA", at positions 355 to 776 of the family's 1533-position model. Lineage: Bacteria; Pseudomonadati; Pseudomonadota. The record is from RNAcentral.